Molecule: long non-coding RNA, 585 nt
Filed under: Mytilus galloprovincialis (Mediterranean mussel)
Lineage: Eukaryota; Metazoa; Mollusca; Bivalvia; Mytilida; Mytilidae
Source: RNAcentral
UCACUGCAAUAACAAUUAUCACUGUAUACAUGUUCUCAAGUUGUAUUUUGUUCAUUCAUUGGAAGCAAGUUAAUAAAUAAAUGAAUCGUUUUACUCCAUGUUGCAUAUGGUUUACAUAAAAGAGGAUGUAAAACAUAUCAGGAAUUACUGUUCAGUUGCGCAUUAUUUCCCUUUUUUAUUUUGGUACCUCUAGAUAGAUUAACUUAUGUCAAUUCAGUGUUCUUUUUGCUUCCAUUUCAUUUAUUCAUGGCUCUGUAUUAUUGAAUAAAGGAGCUGUCUUGUAAUAAUCUGUCUUUUUAUUUCCACCUGAAAACAAUGUACAGGUUAUUAGAAUGCCUGUCAAUUUGUUCUCAUUAAAAACCAAUAGUUAGGAAAAGAUUUAAUAUAAAUGAGAGAAAAACGUUGGAAACUUAUUAAAGGCAUGUCAAUAUAGCACACACAAUGUAUUUACCAUGUCGAGAGCUUAUUUGGGUCAAGUAGAAGUUGCACAUCAGCUCAAUAUUUUUAACUUGGUUGAUGGAUUAUUUGUUGUGAACGGCACACUUUAAAAUGGAAAGAUCAGAGGAUUGAAGUACUUAAAUUUUA